UCGAGAAUAAUUCACAAUGGGGGCAACCCUGAUGGUGCAACGCCGCGUGGAGGAUGAAGGUCUUCGGAUUGUAAACUCCUGUCAUCCGGGAGUAAGACCUGGCUGUGAAUAGCAGACAGGGUUGAUAGUACCGGAAGAGGAAGGGACGGCUAACUUCGUGCCAGCAGCCGCGGUAAUACGAAGGUCCCGAGCGUUGUUCGGAAUCACUGGGCGUAAAGGGAGCGUAGGCGGUAUGGUAAGUCAGAUGUGAAAUCCCGGGGCUCAACCCCGGCACUGCAUCCGAUACUGCCGUGCUUAGAGGGUUGGAGAGGUAGCUGGAAUUCACGGUGUAGCAGUGAAAUGCGUAGAUAUCGUGAGGAACACUUGCUGCGAAAGCGAGCUACUGGACAACUCCUGACGCUGAGGCUCGAAGGCCAGGGGAGCGAAAGGG
RNAcentral lists this ribosomal RNA (430 nucleotides) under uncultured Luteolibacter sp. Its description in RNAcentral is "bacterial SSU rRNA". It matches the Rfam family "Bacterial small subunit ribosomal RNA", at positions 355 to 776 of the family's 1533-position model. The record is from RNAcentral. Lineage: Bacteria; Pseudomonadati; Verrucomicrobiota; Verrucomicrobiia; Verrucomicrobiales; Verrucomicrobiaceae.